AAUAAUUGUUAAUCUCUUCCAAUAUUGCUGACCAGGUUUCUUCAUCUUGAUUUAGCUCGUCAGCACCCUGGACCACUCCUCUAGAGUUGCAUCUCUUUGUGACAGUAGUUCUACCAGUUUCACGAUUACUGUUGGUGACCCCCCACAUUUUCUUAUGAUGCGUCCCUUCAGAUACUGCAUCUCUGGAGGGAUGUUUACCUUCAAAAUAUGUGUGAACAAUGCCCAGCUCUCAUCAUUGGUUCGCAGAUGCAGUCUGCAAGUGAAAUUAGUUUCAGUAAGGGGUGGAGCUUGCCAUAUAUGACAAACUGUGAAAAGUAUUCUUGUUCCAUUUGAUAUCUCAUUGAAGGCACUUCCCAUUCCUCUCCAGAAUUCACAUGCAUUCCAGACUUUACUUGAACAUGGGUCAUCGAUAACUAUAAGAUACUUCUUAUCCAUGAAGAAAGCGUUAACCGUUUGCCUCACCCUACAUAUAUAGCUUUCCUCUGUGUCCUUUGGAUCACGAUAUAUAUCAGAUCCCUCAAUGCCCAAAAUCUGCAUCAUGAUAGUUUCCUUGCUUUCACCUCUGCUUGA
Molecule: unclassified non-coding RNA, 570 nt
Filed under: Hevea brasiliensis (rubber tree)
Lineage: Eukaryota; Viridiplantae; Streptophyta; Magnoliopsida; Malpighiales; Euphorbiaceae
Source: RNAcentral